AAACCAGCCCAUUGAAAAUAUCCUGCCAAGUCAUUCGGGGAUUUGUGGCAGAAACUCCAGUCUUGUGUCUGGACAUGGACCAUUUCUGGGGAAAACUGAGACCUUUGCUAAAAGGAAGAGGGGAAAGCGGGGGCGCACAUAUCCAGUGAUAUUUUCUCAUCUGGUACUUUGUAGAAACCUUGCUCCCAGUAUGUACCUAAUUAAGGCUCCACAGCCCUACGAGGCCCCAAGAGAGAGUGGUUACAUCAGUGCAGUCCUCAGCAGAACCGAGGAAAGAGCUUCAUCGUCCAAAACUGAGGAAAUGCCCAGAUUAACACAGGUUUUCUUGGUGGGGAGAAGGGGAUAGAAUAUUCUGGCAGCUGGAAGACAUAUCCCUGGCUUCUUUCUUCCAGGCAAAAGGGUUUCUGUGUCUCCUGAAUACCUUCUUCUUCCCCCACGCCACGGUGGGUGUGACAAGAUCAGCUGGCUUCCAGAAGGCAAGGUGUUCAGUAAUGUUCAAAGAGAGAAGAUUAUCUCCAAGUUUCUAAAGAAAGUGUUCCGUUCACAACAAAUGAGGUGGUAGGGGUCUGACAACCAGAAAGGGACUUCAAGUUACACCUUUCCUGGCACCAGAAAGUAAGUUCUGACACUGAAACUUUAACCAAAAUUUAAAGUGAAUUUGUAAUAUAAGGCUAGGAAAACAGAGUUACAGAGCAUAGCCAUCUGAAAAAUAGAAAGGCUUAUGAAGCAAUUCAAAUUGCAGAAAUCAAGUCUUAAAUCAAAAUAAAGGAGAAAAUAUAUGAUUGAGAAUUUAUUCAAAAGCACUAGCUGCAACAUAUGCAGAUGUGAAAUUCAGUGAUUGAUGUGUUUAUUUUGCUUCCUUUUGGAAAUAUGUUAAUAUACAUCACUAUCACACGUUCCAGGAAUAAAUAGUUUUUAAACAAUAUUUCUUAACUAUUUGCAACAAAACAAUGGCCUCCCAAAUAGGACAUUGCUAUGGGAGCAGAGUGUUAAAGUUUAAUUUUUAAAACUUCAAAUUAGAAAUAUUUGCAUAUAUAUUUCUUAAAAAGGAAUUAUACAAACACAAGAAAGUAUAUUUAAGAUGAAUGCUCAUAGAAUAGUUCUAAAUCAG
RNAcentral lists this long non-coding RNA (1111 nucleotides) under Pongo abelii (Sumatran orangutan). RNAcentral's name for it is "lncRNA (ENSPPYG00000041255.1)". Lineage: Eukaryota; Metazoa; Chordata; Mammalia; Primates; Hominidae. The record is from RNAcentral.